CUCCCGCACUGGGCCUUCAGUCGGCCUGGUCUACUCUCCGAGCCUCGGCACGUCUGGUCCGCCCCCUUGGGGCCUACAGCCUAUCCGGACCGCUCGCUGGGCCUUUGGGAUAACCGGUCCACCCUGGGUAUGUUGGCCUACAGCACAGAGCAGGACAUGCCUCAACGCAACCCCAGUCCAAAAACCAUGUGCACAUAAACAUUCAAUCAUAUAACAAUUCACAUCCAAUCAAACCGAUCUAGCAGAUCAUAUAGCAUAACAUCAUCCUAACCAGGAUACCGACCUAACCGGUCACUAGCAUAAACCAUCCUAACUACCAGCAUGCAACAUAGCAUAGCAAUAACAUAACAACGAUACCCGGAUCACAAUCCAAUAAAGGGUCGGCCUUGGUGCCGUAGACCCUGUCGAUAUAGUGAGGAUAACUCACGUGCAACUAUUGAGUGAAGAGAUAAGACCAAGAUGCUCCAACCACUGACACGAUCUCCACCACUAGCCAACACCAAAACACUGAACUCAAAAACAAUUGCCAAUAAUUACCAAAAUGCCCCUGAAAGUCAACUGGUCAACCCUUGGUCAAAGUCAAAGUCAAAGUCAAACUCCUGACUGACUCUACUCCCCGAGUCAACCCGCUGACUCGUCGAGUCCCCAUGCUCAGAACUUCCCAAUCCGUGACUCAACUCGNGACUCAACUCGCCGAGUCACCCCGAGACUCGCCGAGUCCAACAACUCUGAGUCCCCUCGCACUCAACUCAUCGAGUCCUCCCUUGACUCAUCGAAUCACGGCUCAACUAGAAGAAGGUUAGGACCUCACGACCAGACUCGCCGAGUCCUAGGCUAUCUUCAACCAACUCGUCGAGUUGUUCUUCCAACUCUUCGAGUUCUUGCCCAUCUUCAAGCAACUCGUCGAGUACACCCUUGUGACUCGCCGAGUACCCCUAGAUCUUAAUCCAUACAGAAGCUUUCCAGGCCAUGCAGAUGAUCCAAACCAUAGAUCUACCCUUCUACAACCCAUCCAUCACGUAAAGUGGCAAACUUUACGUGAAUCCAAAGAGAUCUAAGCAUAUAACACUCUAGGGUUAGGGUUUGGGACAAGAUGGCUUCACCAAACACUCAAGAACAGGGACUUUAAUGCACUCUAGACCUUCUCCAUUCCAGAUCUGAGGUAGCAACCUCAGAUCCAACCUCCAAACUCAAAAUACCACAAGCUAAUCUUUCCAAAUACUCCAAAAUGAUGAAUCUAGAUGAAUAACAGCCCAAGCAACGAAAUAAUACCUCAAAAGGAAGCUCCAACAGAAGAGAAAUCUGAAUCCUAGCAAAGCCCCUUGCUCCAAGCCUCUUAACUCUCCAAGAUCUCUUCCAAAAUCUCUUCUCCAAGGUUCAAAUGCUCUCAAAACACUCACAAACGCGCAUUAGGGUUUUCUGGACUUCAAGAGAGGGUAAAGAGGCUGGGGAGAGGGUAUAAUGUCCUUUAUAUAGGGCUCAUCCCUCGAAAUUAGGGUUUUCUCCACACAGCACCAACUCGCCGAGUCCAGCCGCCGACUCGCCGAGUUGGCCACUUAACAUGCGACCAGAAUCGCGACCCUACUCGCCGAGUUCAUCCAUGGACUCGCCGAGUUUCCCAUUCACAUUUUCACUUUGAACCCUGAACUUGCACUCCUGAACUCGGGAUGUUACAAUUCUCCCCCACUUAAAUUAGGCUUCGUCCUCGAAGCCUGCAGCUACACAACUCCAGAACUACUCUUGCAAUGCACCUCCUGGCAUUAACCAGACCAGGUUCCUUAAAACACAACCAUCGAAACCCAAAACCCAACUUUCCCUCUUGCGGUGUCCUGACCACCGCUUCAAGCCGGCCACCGGCCUCAUCCUCUGAUAACCACACUUAUCAACCAAGUACCACUCCAUGAUACUUCACUCACUCGAAAUCACAACAAUCACUUGACUCAUACGAGCUAGAAAUAACCCUGAACCACCGGGAUCCCGAUCUGAGUCCAACUUCUUCCACUCCAUGCUAACAGGAUGACACAUCUUUCAGCCUCAGAGCAACUCCCAUGAUCUCCUCUGCNAUCUCAUACCCAUGCUGAACUGGCUCUAGCAUCCUCGGGUUGGGAAAACCUGAUACACUGACGACACCUCCAAACAUCCCCCAGAAUGAAUUUCCACCACAUACAUAAUUCCUUGGUCAAAUCAAACUGGGAAUCCAAGACUCCAUCCCUGCAUCCCUUCCGAGCCUCUUGCCUCUACACCCUCGGAAUCCCUUCCGUGACCUCAGCAGACAUCCAACCCGGAUGUGAUUCCACACCACCGCCGUAACCCACUGCUCAAUAACCAUAAUUGGAACACUCCAAUCUUACCUCCGCACUACUGCUUUCACUUCCGAGAACUUACACUCCCUCUCGGAGCUAUAUUCCUUUCCUUUUCCUUACCAAGGAAAUCCACUUGGCUGCCUUGACACUACCACAAGUGCCACGGUGCUCACCCGAUACUACACCAUUCCCUUAUAGUAUAACCGUUAUCUCAUGCACCACACAUGCUCUGAAUCCGCUCGCAAGGACUCUCGAGUCCAUGCACUACCUUCCACUAAUCACGAUCAAUACCCGGGGCCAGACCUUCUGAUGCUUUCACAUCGCGACAUACUCAUUCCAAAUCCUCAUACAGACCUAUCAACACAUGCAGAGUCUUCAGCAUGACUGGACCGCCUUAUCAGGCCUUCAGCCAAUCUAGACCACUCUCAGAACCUUCAGCAGGUCUGGACCGCCCUCCAGUGCCUUCAGCCUGUUUCGACCGUCCUCCGAGCCUUCGACCUGACUGGUACGCCCACCGGCCUUCAGUCUAUCCGGAUCGCUCAACUAGCAUUCAUCAUUCUGAGUUAUCCCUCCAGGAAAACUCUCCCAUGCAUACUGUUCUAGCCCUCUAGGGGUUCCGAACUCUAUCUCCAACCUUCAUACUCAAUCCCGGUCCGAUCUCAGGCCUUCCACAAUCAAUCACCCUUUCUCACAAAACCCUUGGUCUGUAUCCCGCUCCGUCUGCCUGUCACUUACUUAUACCAGCCUACGCUCUUGGCUAACAGAACCACUGUUGAAUCCCAACAGCUAACAAUCUCUCAUUCUUAUCGAUCUUCCGGAGAAUUUCUAAUUCUCCCCACUUAGAGCACUAACUAUCAACCACCGAUCGCCAUCACCGACCUCCCUUAACAGCCCUACACAACACAAUCCCUUACACGCGAACUGAUUCCCACCAGAACGAGCAACCUUCACAAAAUUACAUAUCAACACAGAUCGUCUCGGACAUCAAAAGAAACCCAACAUUCAGCAAACCACUCCUCAAACUGCAGAUGUUACCAGACAUUCAGACCAAAAGACGGAUUUCCCACUAAUAAUCCUCAUGAAUGAUAACCAACGAAAUUCCCAAUACCAAAACCCAUAACCAUACCACAACCCUCAAGGAACAACGAAAACAAUACCAACAAUCACACAACGAGACUAGCAGAUAAACAAUACUCCAUAAUAAUCACAAAAUAACAAGACAUCAAGAAAGAAACAUACCCAUAGCUGCAUCCGGCAUUGCCCUGACCUCCUCUGUUGUAAGCUGAAAAGCACGACCCUGAGCCCUUGGGGGCUCCGCUCCACCCUGACCUCCACCCGUAAUCCUCAAAGUGGCUGGUGCUGGAGCCUGCACCGGUCCUGCAGCAAGCUGUGGAUAGUUGACCCUCAAGUGUCCAACCUAAUGGCAGUGAUAACAAAUCCUCAAAUCCUAAAUCGGGGCUGUUUGCCGACAAUCCCGUGCAUAGUGCCCCUCUCUCGCACACUUGUGGCAUGCACCACCGGACCUACAAACUCCGGUGUGACCCUUCCCACACUUCCCACAAGUGCGGCUGCUCUGAUCUCCCAAUCUAGAAUCAACGGUCUUGGACCGUUUCGGCGCCAGCUGCAACUGUGUCGGGGCCUGCCUUUGUUCCCUCAACUGCAACUCAAUCUCCAACUCAUGCCUCCUGGCGGCCUCCUGCAACUCUAACAACGUCUCGCACCUCUGUGUAGAAACAAACUGCCUGAUAUCCCUCUUGAGCAUACUCAGAUACCGAGACAUCUGAGCCUGCUCCGAAGCAAACUCAGGGCAAAACAUCGCCCUCUCAGUGAACAUCCUGGUGAUCUCCGUCACCGACUCCGAGUCUUGCUUCAACUCCAGGAACUCCUAAGCCAAUCUCUCCCUCUCAACGCGCGGAACAUAACGACAGCUAAACAUCUAUCGAAACUGAUCCCAAGAAACCGCAGCCCUCUGCGCAUCCGAAUCGCCUGCUCCGAAGCAAACUCAGGGCAAAACAUCGCCCUCUCAGUGAACAUCCUGGUGAUCUCCGUCACCGACUCCGAGUCUUGCUUCAACUCCAGGAACUCCUAAGCCAAUCUCUCCCUCUCAACGCGCGGAACAUAACGACAGCUAAACAUCUAUCGAAACUGAUCCCAAGAAACCGCAGCCCUCUGCGCAUCCGAAUCUGACCCUGUCGUCAAUCUCCACCAAUCCUUCGCCCCGAGCCUCAACAGGUUCAGAGCACACCUCACUCUCUGAUUAGCAGGGCAUGAACACGUGAAGAAAAACCCCUCCACGUCCGACAACCAUCUCAUAGCAACAAUCGGAUCCUGAACCCCAUCAAAGGUAGGGGGCUUCGUAUUAUCGAAGUCCCGAUACUGAAAACCNGCUACAGCCAUUGUAGUUGCCGUGGCAGCCGUCUCUACGAGAGCUGCAUAGCGCUCAUCAAAAUACUCAACCAUGGCGGUCUUGAUCGAUCCAAACAGUUCCGGCAACUCGGCCUGGAACAAUGCAGCAACCUCAUCAUGCAGGAUCUCACGAAUCCUAGCAUCCAACUCGCCUGUGCUCAUCUGACCAAUAACCUCGGGCGGUACUGACCCACCCUGACCGCCCUCUCCUGCUCCCGAUCCUGACCCGGAUCCACUCCCAGCAUGCCUCGUAACCACCAUACUGAAAAACAUCGCAAGAUCUCAGAUACUUCCCACUAACCCGGGAACCAACCCCCAACCCAACCCUAGAGGUUGUGGCUUCUUUGAUACGUGUAUGGGUCCUGUACUUUCCGUAGUACGGGCCCAUACUACCUUCACACCUACCCAUAUUUAUAUCAAUUAUCACCACAACACCCUAGUGAAGAACAUACAUAACAAGCAGACAACCCUCACUCCUAGAGGAACACGGGAAAUCUCCCUCAGAAGAAACCCUAGGCUAGCAGGCAUCAUAAAUCAGGCAACAUUAUCAUGAAAUCCAGAAGAUCCCUAGCCUAGUACUAGCAUGUUGUUCUAUCAUAACUAAAAACAAAACAAAUAUCAUGUAUGGUAUUUUGGGGUUACUUACUGGCUCCGGCUGAUCCUACCUCCGCGUCCUCCUUUACUCAUUUUGAAAGCCAUUUUAAAUUCUCUUUUUGAAAACACCCAUGAUUUGAGACUGCAUUCACACGAAUGUUCCUCCAAUUCACUCAAACCAAGGCACUGAUACCAACUUGUAACGUUCUAAAAUUUUCAACCAAUUUAAACUUUUCAAAAACAACCCCAUUUCAUUAAGUUAUUACAAAAAGGUUUUCAAUACAAUUAUUAUCAUUGUCUUCCCAGAACCACAUCAUAAAACAUAAUCAUGAGGAGCGGUAUGAUCACGCCUUUGCCUUGCCACGGUCUCCUGAAGAACCUGAAAAACAAUUAAACCACAACUGUAAGCCCGAAAGCUUAGUGAGAUACCCCCAAAAUACCAACCACAUAUACCAUACACGCACAACAUGCCAUAUCAUAACAGAACACAGAACAGCCAUGCACUUCGGGUCUAUUGUGUGACUGGUCCGCCGCACCGGCCUUCAGUCCACCUGGUCCACCCUCCGAGUCUAGCCAUAUACAUCGAGUCUACAGUGUGGUUGGUCCGCCCGCACCGGAUCUUCAAUCCACCUGGUCCACUAUCUGAGUCUACUGUAUAACUGGUCCGCCCGCACUGGGCCUUCAAUCGGCCUGGUCCACUCUCCGAGCCUCGGCACGUCUGGUCCGCCCUCUUGGGGCCUACAGCCUAUCCGGACCGCUCACUACGCCUUCGGGAUAACCGGUCCGCCCUGGGUAUGUUGGCCUACAGCACAAAGCAGGACCCACCUCAACCCAAACCCCAGUCCAACAACCAUGUGCACAUAAACAUUCAAUCGUAUAACAUUUCACAUCCAAUCAAACCGAUCUAGCAGAUCACAUAGCAUAACAUCAUCCUAACCAGGAUACCGACCUAACCGGUCACUAGCAUAAACCAUCCUAACUACCAGGAUGCAACAUAGCAAAGCAAUAACAUAACAACGAUACCCGGAUCACAAUCCGAUAAAGGGCCGGCCUUGGUGCCGUAGACCCUAUCGAUAUAGUGAGGAUAACUCACCUGCAACUGUUGAGUGAAGAGCUAAGACCAAGCUGCUCUGACCACUGACACGAUCUCCACCA
This 6458-nucleotide long non-coding RNA is filed under the name Lactuca sativa (garden lettuce). RNAcentral describes it as "long non-coding RNA (LSAT_LNC003119)". Lineage: Eukaryota; Viridiplantae; Streptophyta; Magnoliopsida; Asterales; Asteraceae. The record is from RNAcentral.